RNAcentral lists this ribosomal RNA (498 nucleotides) under uncultured bacterium. RNAcentral's name for it is "partial 16S ribosomal RNA". It matches the Rfam family "Bacterial small subunit ribosomal RNA", at positions 29 to 507 of the family's 1533-position model. The record is from RNAcentral.
AGCGAACGCUGGCGGCGUGCCUAACACAUGCCAGUCGAACGUGAAAAGGGAAACCUGAGUAAAGUGGCGUACGGGUGAGUAACGCGUAGGUAAUCUACCCCAGAAUCUGGAAUAACCUGCCGAAAGGCGGGCUAAUACUGGAUAGAGCGAGGGAACUCGUAAGAGAGUUUUUCGGGAAAGGGAGCCCGCAAGGGCCUUCGUUCUGGGAUGAGCCUGCUUCUCAUUAGCUAGUUGGUAAGGUAACGGCUUACCAAGGAGAUGAUGAGUAGCGGGUCUGAGAGGAGGAUCAGCCAAACUGGAACGGAAACACGGUCCAGACUCCUACGGGAGGCAGCAGUGGGGAAUCUGGCGCAAUGGACGAAAGUCUGACGCAGCCACGCCGCGUGAGUGAAGAAGGCCUUCGGGUUGUAAAGCUCUGUCGGAUGGGACGAACAUCUUCAUAGUGAAUAGCUAUGAGGACUGACGGUACCAUCAAAGGAAGCACCGGCUAACUCCGUG